This is a non-coding RNA of Diplodia seriata, 215 nucleotides long. The record is from Rfam. Lineage: Eukaryota; Fungi; Ascomycota; Dothideomycetes; Botryosphaeriales; Botryosphaeriaceae.
ACAGACUCAUAGAAUCAUUUCUAUAGUAAACGUCUCCUUCUGAGCUCCUUACCAGAGCCACAGAAUCUCCAACCUGGCUGAUGAUUCGAUACCCCGGCGCCCUAGAGUGAAGCCUUGUACUGCGGCUUCGGCUGCAGUGGUGAUGAUCUCGUCCCUUCCAGAUGCCCGACUUCGGUCGGUCUGGCUGGGUGGGUGCUGGUGGUCGUCUGACAGGC